GCGGGCGUGGUUCAACGGUAGAAUAGCGGCUUCCCAAGCCGCGGACGUGGGUUCGACUCCCAUCGCCCGCUCCA
RNAcentral lists this transfer RNA (74 nucleotides) under Acidobacteriota bacterium. Its description in RNAcentral is "Acidobacteria bacterium tRNA-Gly". It matches the Rfam family "tRNA". Rfam says of the family: Transfer RNA (tRNA) molecules are approximately 80 nucleotides in length. Their secondary structure includes four short double-helical elements and three loops (D, anti-codon, and T loops). RNAcentral also lists the same sequence under 2 other names. Lineage: Bacteria; Pseudomonadati; Acidobacteriota. The record is from RNAcentral.